AUGAGUGGCGAACGGGUGAGUAACACGUGAGUACCUGCCUCUUCUUUGGAUAACGCCCGGAAACGGGUGCUAAUACUGGAUAUUCACUGAUCUUCGCAUGGGGGUUGGUGGAAAGGUUUUUUCUUGGUGGGGGAUGGGCUCGCGGCCUAUCAGCUUGUUGGUGGGGUGAUGGCCUACCAAGGCUUUGACGGGUAGCCGGCCUGAGAGGGUGACCGGUCACAUUGGGACUGAGAUACGGCCCAG
Molecule: ribosomal RNA, 243 nt
Filed under: uncultured bacterium
Lineage: Bacteria
Description: partial 16S ribosomal RNA
Rfam family: Bacterial small subunit ribosomal RNA
Source: RNAcentral